RNAcentral lists this non-coding RNA (947 nucleotides) under Eleginops maclovinus (Patagonian blennie). Its description in RNAcentral is "12S ribosomal RNA". It matches the Rfam family "Bacterial small subunit ribosomal RNA". Lineage: Eukaryota; Metazoa; Chordata; Actinopteri; Perciformes; Eleginopidae. The record is from RNAcentral.
CAAAGGCUUGGUCCUGACUUUACUACCAGCUUUAGCCGAACUUACACAUGCAAGUAUCCGCACCCCUGUGAGAAUGCCCACAGUUCCCCGCCCGGGAACAAGGAGCUGGUAUCAGGCACAUUUUCAGCCCAUGACACCUUGUUUAGCCACACCCCCAAGGGAACUCAGCAGUGAUAAAUAUUAAGCCAUGAGUGAAAACUUGACUUAGUAAAAGCUAAAAGGGCCGGUAAAACUCGUGCCAGCCACCGCGGUUAUACGAGAGGCCCAAGUUGAUAGUUUACGGCGUAAAGAGUGGUUAGGAAAAAAUUAACACUAAAGCCGAAUGCCCUCAAAGCUGUUAUACGCAUCCGGAGGCAAGAAGUUCAACCACGAAAGUGGCUUUAUUAAACCCUGAACCCACGAAAGCUAGGAAACAAACUGGGAUUAGAGACCCCACUAUGCCUAGCCGUAAACAUUGAUAGAGUAACACACCCCCUAUCCGCCUGGGAACUACGAGCACCAGCUUAAAACCCAAAGGACUUGGCGGUGCUUUAGAUCCUUCUAGAGGAGCCUGUUCUAGAACCGAUAACCCCCGUUCAACCUCACCUUUCCUUGUUUUCCCCGCCUAUAUACCGCCGUCGUCAGCCCACCCUGUGAAGGUUCAAAAGUAGGCAAAAUUGGCAAAGCCCAGAACGUCAGGCCGAGGUGUAGCGUAUGGGAAGGGAAGAAAUGGGCUACAUUCCCUAUUUUAGGGUAUACGAAUGAUCUACUGAAACGUAGAUCUUGAAGGAGGAUUUAGCAGUAAGCGGGAAAUAGAGCGUCCCGCUGAAAUUGGCUCUGAAGCGCGCACAUACCGCCCGUCACUCUCCCCAAACACAUCACCCUAACUAUUUAAAACCUUAGAGCAAUAAAGGGGAGGCAAGUCGUAACAUGGUAAGUGUACCGGAAGGUGCACUUGGACUAAUAAC